UACAGAGGGGGCAAGCGUUGUUCGGAAUUACUGGGCGUAAAGGGCGCGUAGGCGGCCUUCUAAGUCGAACGUGAAAUCCCCGGGCUCAACCCGGGAACUGCGUCCGAUACUGGAAGGCUUGAAUCCGGGAGAGGGAUGUGGAAUUCCAGGUGUAGCGGUGAAAUGCGUAGAUAUCUGGAGGAACACCGGUGGCGAAGGCGACAUCCUGGACCGGUAUUGACGCUGAGGCGCGAAAGCAUGGGGAUCAAACAGG
Molecule: ribosomal RNA, 253 nt
Filed under: uncultured bacterium
Lineage: Bacteria
Description: partial 16S ribosomal RNA
Rfam family: Bacterial small subunit ribosomal RNA
Source: RNAcentral